GAGGAAUAUUGGUCAAUGGGCGGAAGCCUGAACCAGCCAUGCCGCGUGCAGGAAGACGGCCCUACGGGUUGUAAACUGCUUUUCUGCGGGAAGAACGGCCCCCACGCGUGGGGGUGUGACGGUACCGCAGGAAUAAGGAUCGGCUAACUCCGUGCCAGCAGCCGCGGUAAUACGGAGGAUCCGAGCGUUAUCCGGAUUUACUGGGUUUAAAGGGUGCGUAGGCUGUUCGCUAAGUCAGCGGUGAAAUGGCGCGGCUCAACCGUGCAGCUGCCGUUGAAACUGGCGGGCUUGAGUGGGUUCGAGGCAGGCGGAAUGCGCGGUGUAGCGGUGAAAUGCAUAGAUAUCGCGCAGAACGCCAAUAGCGUAGGCAGCUUGCCAGGCCCCAACUGACGCUGAGGCACGAAAGCGUGGGGAUCAAAC
This 420-nucleotide ribosomal RNA is filed under the name uncultured bacterium. Its description in RNAcentral is "bacterial SSU rRNA". It matches the Rfam family "Bacterial small subunit ribosomal RNA", at positions 356 to 773 of the family's 1533-position model. The record is from RNAcentral.